Molecule: small RNA, 802 nt
Filed under: Levilactobacillus spicheri
Lineage: Bacteria; Bacillati; Bacillota; Bacilli; Lactobacillales; Lactobacillaceae
Description: bacterial LSU rRNA
Rfam family: Bacterial large subunit ribosomal RNA (bases 297-802)
Source: RNAcentral
UGAGGUCGAUGGUUCGAGUCCAUUUAUGCCCAUUGACCGUAAGGUCGAUAUGGGGAAUUAGCUCAGAUGGGAGAGCACCUGCUUUGCAAGCAGGGGGUCAGCGGUUCGAUCCCGCUAUUCUCCAUUGGUGCGAGAGCAUCAAGAUAACUUGUUCUUUGAAAACUAGAUAUUAUCAAUUAUUUUCCUUUAAUUAUUAAAGAUAAUUAAACCGAGAACACCGCGUUUAUUUUGAGUUUUUUAAUUAGUUUUAAAAUUCGCUAAUACUCGAUUAAUCGUUCAUCACGACGUGAUGAAUAGGUUAAGUUAUGAAGGGCGCAUGGUGAAUGCCUUGGUACUAGGAGCCGAUGAAGGACGGGACUAACACCGAUAUGCUUCGGGGAGCUGUACGUAAGCUUUGAUCCGGAGAUUUCCGAAUGGGGAAACCCAAUCAUCUUUACCGAUGAUUACAACUUGACGAAUACAUACUCAAGUUGAGGCAGACGUGGGGAACUGAAACAUCUAAGUACCCACAGGAAGAGAAAGAAAAUUCGAUUCCCUAAGUAGCGGCGAGCGAACGGGGAACAGCCCAAACCAAUGAGCUUGCUCAUUGGGGUUGUAGGACUGAACAUUUGAGUUACCAAAGUCAGUGAUAACCGAAGUGUCUGGGAAGGCACGGCAGAGCGGGUGAUACCCCCGUAGGUGAAAUCACUGACCCUCAGUUCAGGAUCCUGAGUACGGCCAGACACGUGAAACCUGGUCGGAAUCCGGGAGGACCAUCUCCCAAGGCUAAAUACUCCCUAGUGACCGAUAGUGAACCAGUACG